AGUCGAGCGGGGGACAUUAGCAAUAGAUGUCUAGCGGCGGACGGGUGAGUAACGCGUGAGCAAUCUGUCCCAGAAUGGGGGAUAACAGAUGGAAACAUCUGCUAAUACCGCAUAAGACCACGAGGUCACAUGGCCUUGAGGUAAAAGGAGCAAUCCGAUCUGGGGUGAGCUCGCGUCCGAUUAGCCAGUUGGCGGGGUAACGGCCCACCAAAGCGACGAUCGGUAGCCGGCCUGAGAGGGCGAUCGGCCACACUGGAACUGAGAGACGGUCCAGACUCCUACGGGAGGCAGCAAUGGGGAAUAUUGGGCAAUGGGGGAAACCCUGACCCAGCAACGCCGCGUGAGGGAAGAAGGUUUUCGGAUUGUAAACCUCUGUCCUUGGUGACGAAGGAAGUGACGGUAACCAAGGAGGAAGCCCCGGCUAACUACGUGCCAGCAGCCGCGGUAAUACGUAGGGGGCAAGCGUUGUCCGGAAUGACUGGGCGUAAAGGGCGUGUAGGCGGCCGAUUAAGUCUGGAGUGAAAGUCCUGCUUUCAAGGUGGGAAUUGCUUUGGAGACUGGUUGGCUUGAGUGCGGAAGAGGUAAGUGGAAUUCCCAGUGUAGCGGUGAAAUGCGUAGAGAUUGGGAGGUACACCAGUGGCGAAGGCGACUUACUGGGCCGUAACUGACGCUGAGGCGCGAAAGCGUGGGGAGCGAACAGGAUUAGAUAUCUGGUAGUCCACGCGGUAAACGAUGUAUGCUAGGUGUAGCGGGUAUCGACCCCUG
This 765-nucleotide ribosomal RNA is filed under the name uncultured Peptostreptococcaceae bacterium. RNAcentral's name for it is "bacterial SSU rRNA". It matches the Rfam family "Bacterial small subunit ribosomal RNA", at positions 60 to 840 of the family's 1533-position model. The record is from RNAcentral. Lineage: Bacteria; Bacillati; Bacillota; Clostridia; Peptostreptococcales; Peptostreptococcaceae.